This 1447-nucleotide long non-coding RNA is filed under the name Pelusios castaneus (West African mud turtle). RNAcentral describes it as "lncRNA (ENSPCEG00000019903.1)". Lineage: Eukaryota; Metazoa; Chordata; Testudines; Pelomedusidae. The record is from RNAcentral.
GAUCACUCGCCCGCUCUGUGCCCAGCCGGCUGCCGCCCCACCCUUCCCUUCCAGGCUCAGCUCGCUGAGACGCGCAUGCGCGCAGCCCGGGAACGCCUGGGGACUUUCCCCUGCAGGCCCGGCAGUGGUCUGCCUGGGGCGGAGACAGGGGGCGGGGGGUUCCCGCCAGGCGGGGGCGCCACCAGUCGCUGUAUAUAGCGCCGGCAGCCGCAUGGUGCGCGCGGCUUGGGUCAGCCGGUUUUGGCUGCCCAAAGGAAUUGAAUGUUUCAGAAUAUAGACACGUACAGUUUCUUCUUGUGAACAACAAAUUUCAAUAUGGAAGCGUAAGACCCUUCAAAGGGACUUCAGUCUGAAAUCUGGGAGGUAGUUUUGUGCACAAAUAAAAUUAAUAAAUAUAUUUCUAUAUUAAUCAAUAUGGGUUCUGUUUUCUUUAUGAAUAUGGCCUGUGGCGAUCUUUUAAUUAAGCCAUAUAAGAUACUAGAGUAUUCUAACACAAACCCAUAUGUUUAUAUUAAAUGCUAUAAGAGUAUAAUUUUACCCAAACAACCUGGCUAAACUUAUAAUGUACAGUGCUAUCUGUGUUGAGUGUGUCAUGGAAGAAAAUAUCCCCAGGGCUGUUCCAAGCCAGCUGGUAUUUGUGACAAGUUGGUCGUGUCACUAGUAGAGGCAAGAAUCACUCUUUCCAGAGCACUAGCUCUGUUCUGUGUAAGGCAGUUGAGUAUAACCUUCGAUUUUUGUUUAUAGUGUCUUGCAUAUUUGGGGGUUCAGGAUUGCUAAAACAAAGGGGUUUUUGUUUUGGUGGUCUUAUGAUGCACAGAUGCCCAUUUAGAAGCUUUGUCAUUGUUCUGUUUGUGUCUAUAUAAAUGUCCAAGGUUAGAAUUUCAACAUAUCUAGGAGACACUCUUAUCAAAACACAAUCUUUACAGAUGUAUAAAAUCUGCCUUCUUAUUGGUGAUCUAGUAUGAAAUAAUUAAAACACUUAAAUUGGAGAAUAUUAAAUUGCAGUUUCUUCAGUUUUUACCCACUUUAGUUUGUUUAUUGGGGUGGGUUUUGAUUACCCUUACAGAUUUUUCUGUACCUCUUCCAUCCAACUCUCAUCUGCACCAAACUGCCAUCAUCUGAUUGCUUGUGAGAUGAGAAGUACAGUAAACUAAGGAAAAUGUGAUAUACUGUAAAAGGAAAGUCCAGUUGACAUGCUUUCUGUGCCUGAGAGUGUUGAGAUUUUAGAACUUCUCCACUGAAAGCAAUUGUGCAGAUUAAAAUAAAGGCAGGACUUCCCAGGCAUAUCACAUCUGCUUAUGAAUCAUAACUAAUUCCUUUCACAAAUGUAUUCAGUUUUACAAACCAAAAUGUUUCACUUUCAGGUCCUUACUCUUUUAUAUGGCCUGGGAGUUAUUCAAAAUCAUCUCCAUGCACAAAACUACCUCCCAGAGAAAGACUUGUCCCA